GGUUAGGUGGGUGAGAGGCUGAAACCAGUCGUUUGCUAAAUGACCUUACGAGUAACAUCGUAACGAGGGUUCGAAUCCCUCCCUGACCGCCA
RNAcentral lists this transfer RNA (92 nucleotides) under Candidatus Pelagibacter sp. IMCC9063. RNAcentral describes it as "tRNA-Ser (GCT) (tRNA-Ser-GCT-1-1)". It matches the Rfam family "tRNA". Rfam says of the family: Transfer RNA (tRNA) molecules are approximately 80 nucleotides in length. Their secondary structure includes four short double-helical elements and three loops (D, anti-codon, and T loops). Further hydrogen bonds mediate the characteristic L-shaped molecular structure. tRNAs have two regions of fundamental functional importance: the anti-codon, which is responsible for specific mRNA codon recognition, and the 3' end, to which the tRNAs corresponding amino acid is attached (by aminoacyl-tRNA synthetases). tRNAs cope with the degeneracy of the genetic code in two manners: having more than one tRNA (with a specific anti-codon) for a particular amino acid; and 'wobble' base-pairing, i.e. permitting non-standard base-pairing at the 3rd anti-codon position. RNAcentral also lists the same sequence under 3 other names. Lineage: Bacteria; Pseudomonadati; Pseudomonadota; Alphaproteobacteria; Candidatus Pelagibacterales; Candidatus Pelagibacteraceae. The record is from RNAcentral.